GGGUUUGCUUCCUGGGGAGUGGGCUCAGCCUACUCCAGCUCCCCUCAGGCGAGCCUGGAGUAGAGGGCUGGACACCCUUCCCGCGGAAGAGGCAUUGAAGUAAAGAGCCUCACCUGGGCUGCCCUAGCCUCACAUUU
Nycticebus coucang (slow loris) is the source of this 137-nucleotide non-coding RNA. RefSeq annotates it as small Cajal body-specific RNA 21. NCBI's taxonomy places the organism in Eukaryota, Metazoa, Chordata, Mammalia, Primates, Lorisidae. The transcript has a single exon. The record is from RefSeq and is a predicted model, not a curated record.